GUCAGCUGACACAUCCCUGCCAAUCUCAGGCAGACCCUCCCUCCCAGACCCUUCCACCUCCUGGACAGCAUCCAUGUUGAAGCUGCCUUCAACAUGGAUGCUGUCCAGGAAGUAGGAGGGUCUGGGAGGGAGGGUCUGCCGGAGAUUGGCAGGGAUGUGUCAGCUG
Non-coding RNA from Pelobates cultripes (western spadefoot toad), 166 nucleotides. NCBI's taxonomy places the organism in Eukaryota, Metazoa, Chordata, Amphibia, Anura, Pelobatidae. The record is from the annotation of a GenBank genome assembly.